RNAcentral lists this ribosomal RNA (417 nucleotides) under bacterium. RNAcentral's name for it is "bacterial SSU rRNA". It matches the Rfam family "Bacterial small subunit ribosomal RNA", at positions 983 to 1386 of the family's 1533-position model. The record is from RNAcentral.
GACAUUCCAGAGAAAUUAGCAGAGAUGCUUUGGUGCCUUCGGGAACUUUGAGACAGGGUGCUGCAAUGGGCUGUCGUCAGCUCGUGUUGUGAAAAUGUUGGGUUAAGUCCCGCAACGAGCGCAACCCUUAUCCUUUGUUGCCAGCGAUUAGGUCAGGAACUCAAAGGAGACUGCCAGUAAUAAACUGGAGGAAGGUGGGGAUGACGUCAAGUCAUCAUGGCCCUUACGAGUAGGGCUACACACGUGCUACAAUGGCAUAUACAAAGAGAAGCGACCUCGCGAGAGCAAGCGGACCUCAUAAAGUAUGUCGUAGUCCGGAUUGGAGUGUGCAACUCGACUCCAUGAAGUCGGAAUCGCUAGUAAUCGUGGAUCAGAAUGCCACGGUGAAUACGUUCCCGGGCCUUGUACUACAACCGC